This 259-nucleotide ribosomal RNA is filed under the name uncultured prokaryote. RNAcentral describes it as "partial 16S ribosomal RNA". It matches the Rfam family "Bacterial small subunit ribosomal RNA", at positions 524 to 782 of the family's 1533-position model. The record is from RNAcentral.
UACGUAGGUGGCAAGCGUUGUCCGGAUUUAUUGGGCGUAAAUCGAGCGCAGGCGGUUCCUUAAGUCUGAUGUGAAAGCCCACGGCUCAACCGUGGAAGGUCAUUGGAAACUGGGGAACUUGAGUGCAGAAGAGGAGAGUGGAAUUCCAUGUGUAGCGGUGAAAUGCGUAGAUAUAUGGAGGAACACCAGUGGCGAAGGCGACUCUCUGGUCUGUAACUGACGCUGAGGCUCGAAAGCGUGGGUAGCAAACAGGAUUAGA